UGCUUUCGGUGAAUGCCCUACACCUUUGCAUAUUUUUCACUACACCCAGGCUCUGAUGUAGCACGUCGUAAGUAGAGGACACCCCAACUUUUAUAUCAUAGGAAUCCAUAUAAUGAGGUGUGACAAAAUUUUACGCUGGUUGUGUCACCUACUGCAAGCCCCCUCCUUUAUCCGAGUUUGGAACCGACUAAGCAUAAACUACUUAGGCGGA
RNAcentral lists this unclassified non-coding RNA (211 nucleotides) under Hevea brasiliensis (rubber tree). Lineage: Eukaryota; Viridiplantae; Streptophyta; Magnoliopsida; Malpighiales; Euphorbiaceae. The record is from RNAcentral.